GAUCCGCCCCCAGCGCGCGCGCGUCUCGGCGCCAGGAGCCGUCCCGGGGCGUGUUGGCGAGCGCUGAUAUAGAUAUAAGGACAUUUCUCUUCAUGGCGUCACGUGACAUAAUUACCACCAGAAUCAAUCAAGAUGAAUUGCACGUCAGCGCCCGGUGGGGAUUUUUGCUUAGUUGAUCCUGGCCCAAGCCUCUUGUGCAAUCGAUGGCUCAGGUUGGCUGCGCGGGGAGCGGCCCGGGGCUCGCCGGCGCGCACGCCGCGGAGCCAUGAACGACUUUGACGAGUGCGGCCCGAGCGCAGCCAGCAUGUACCUGCCGGGCUGCGCCUACUAUGUGGCCCCGUCUGACUUCGCUAGCAAGCCUUCGUUCCUUUCCCAACCGUCGUCCUGCCAGAUGACUUUCCCCUACUCUUCCAACCUGGCGCCGCACGUCCAGCCCGUGCGCGAAGUGGCCUUCCGCGACUACGGCCUGGAGCGCGCCAAGUGGCCAUACCGCGGCGGCGGCGGCAGCAGUGCUGCUGGGGGCGGCGGCGGCGGCGGGGGCGGCCACGGCGGGGGCGGCGGCGGCGCCGGGGGCUACGCUCCCUACUACGCGGCCGCGGCGGCUGCAGCUGCAGCGGCCGCAGCGGCCGAGGAGGCAGCCAUGCAGCGCGAGCUGCUCCCUCCCGCGGGCCGCCGGCCGGACGUGCUCUUCAAAGCGCCUGAGCCGGUGUGCGCUGCGCCCGGGCCGCCGCACGGCCCCGCGGGUGCCGCUUCCAACUUCUACAGCGCGGUGGGCCGCAAUGGCAUCCUGCCGCAGGGAUUCGACCAGUUCUACGAGGCGGCGCCUGGGCCCCCGUUCGCCGGGCCGCAGCCCCCGCCGCCGCCCGCGCCGCCACAGCCCGAGGGCGCUGCCGACAAGGGCGACCCCAAGACCGGGGCUGGCGGGGGCAGUCCCUGCGCUAAGGCGACCCCCGGGUCGGAGCCCAAGGGGGCAGCGGAAGGAGGCGGUGGCGACGGCGAGGGCCCCCCGGGGGAGGCAGGGGCCGAGAAGAACAGCGGCACAGUGGCCCCCCAGCGGUCCCGAAAGAAGCGCUGUCCCUACACCAAGUACCAGAUCCGCGAACUGGAACGCGAGUUUUUCUUUAACGUGUACAUAAACAAAGAAAAAAGACUACAACUCUCUCGGAUGCUCAACCUCACUGACCGGCAAGUCAAAAUCUGGUUCCAGAAUCGCAGGAUGAAAGAAAAGAAACUGAACAGAGACCGUCUGCAGUAUUUCACUGGAAACCCCUUAUUUUGAGAGCUCCAGGAAGCGCCCCCUUCCCCGAGCCCCACUCACCCACCAUCCUCCCCACCAGCCUGCCCUCUGCAGGUCCAAUGUCCUUGGGUUUAAUGACGCCUCUUCUCUGUGGAACUUCACCAUUUCUUCCCACGGUCAACUCGGGACCUCCCAGCGACCACUGCAGCCUGCGGACGAGGCCGAGGACUUGGCCGAGCGGAUCCUAAUAAGGGGAAAAUGGGGCCUGGAGAUCCACACGAGGGCGCGCUCACGUUCCAGAAGCCGAGUUUGACCCAGAGGCAGCGGUACCUUAUCUUUCCAAUACUGGAUUCUAAUAGGCGAUCUCCGCCUGUUAGAAACAGGCGGCAGCUAAGGUGUUUGCUGUUUGUUUGUUCUAAGCAACCACGAGGUGUGAGAAGUUGUAUAGAGACAGAGAAAAGGGAGCCACCAGAUUCAUGAAACAGGAGAUGACCUAAUUGUUGUCUCCUUAAAGAUAAAGCUGUUUGCAAAGAAUACCUUGGUAUAACCUGAUGGUGUUGAGAAGAGAGUUUUAAAAGACAAAUAUAUGCGUUUUUAAAUAUGUCAUGGUCACUGCGCGUUAAUUAAAUUAGGGA
Molecule: non-coding RNA, 1872 nt
Organism: Microcebus murinus (gray mouse lemur)
Lineage: Eukaryota; Metazoa; Chordata; Mammalia; Primates; Cheirogaleidae
Source: RefSeq, a predicted model, not a curated record